RNAcentral lists this ribosomal RNA (1432 nucleotides) under 'Withania somnifera' phytoplasma. RNAcentral's name for it is "bacterial SSU rRNA". It matches the Rfam family "Bacterial small subunit ribosomal RNA". Lineage: Bacteria; Bacillati; Mycoplasmatota; Mollicutes; Acholeplasmatales; Acholeplasmataceae. The record is from RNAcentral.
CAUGCAAGUCGAACGGAAGUUUAAGCAAUUAAACUCUAGUGGCGAACGGGUGAGUAACGCGUAAGCAAUCUGCCCCUAAGACGAGGAUAACAGUUGGAAACGACUGCUAAGACUGGAUAGGAGACAAGAAGGCAUCUUCUUGUUUUUAAAAGACCUAGCAAUAGGUAUGCUUAGGGAGGAGCUUGCGUCACAUUAGUUAGUUGGUGGGGCAAAGGCCUACCAAGACUAUGAUGUGUAGCCGGGCUGAGAGGUUGAACGGCCACAUUGGGACUGAGACACGGCCCAAACUCCUACGGGAGGCAGCAGUAGGAAAUUUUCGGCAAUGGAGGAAACUUUGACCGAGCAACGCCGCGUGAACGAUGAAGUAUUUCGGUACGUAAAGUUCUUUUUUUAGGGAAGAAUAAAUGAUGGAAAAAUCAUUCUGACGGUACCUAAUGAAUAAGCCCCGGCAAACUAUGUGCCAGCAGCCGCGGUAAUACAUAGGGGGCAAGCGUUAUCCGGAAUUAUUGGGCGUAAAGGGUGCGUAGGCGGUUAAAUAAGUUUAUGGUCUAAGUGCAAUGCUCAACAUUGUGAUGCUAUAAAAACUGUUUAGCUAGAGUAAGAUAGAGGCAAGUGGAAUUCCAUGUGUAGUGGUAAAAUGCGUAAAUAUAUGGAGGAACACCAGUAGCGAAGGCGGCUUGCUGGGUCUUUACUGACGCUGAGGCACGAAAGCGUGGGGAGCAAACAGGAUUAGAUACCCUGGUAGUCCACGCCGUAAACGAUGAGUACUAAACGUUGGGUAAAACCAGUGUUGAAGUUAACACAUUAAGUACUCCGCCUGAGUAGUACGUACGCAAGUAUGAAACUUAAAGGAAUUGACGGGACUCCGCACAAGCGGUGGAUCAUGUUGUUUAAUUCGAAGGUACCCGAAAAACCUCACCAGGUCUUGACAUGCUUCUGCAAAGCUGUAGAAACACAGUGGAGGUUAUCAGUUGCACAGGUGGUGCAUGGUUGUCGUCAGCUCGUGUCGUGAGAUGUUGGGUUAAGUCCCGCAACGAGCGCAACCCUUAUUGUUAGUUACCAGCACGUAAUGGUGGGGACUUUAGCAAGACUGCCAGUGAUAAAUUGGAGGAAGGUGGGGACGACGUCAAAUCAUCAUGCCCCUUAUGACCUGGGCUACAAACGUGAUACAAUGGCUGUUACAAAGGGUAGCUGAAGCGCAAGUUUUUGGCGAAUCUCAAAAAAACAGUCUCAGUUCGGAUUGAAGUCUGCAACUCGACUUCAUGAAGUUGGAAUCGCUAGUAAUCGCGAAUCAGCAUGUCGCGGUGAAUACGUUCUCGGGGUUUGUACACACCGCCCGUCAAACCACGAAAGUUGGUAAUACCCAAAGCCGGUGGCCUAACUUCGCAAGAAGAGGGAACCGUCUAAGGUAGGGUCGAUGAUUGGGGUUAAG